CCUUGGAGUGGGGAAUAACAGCUGGAAACAGCUGCUAAUACCGCAUGAUAUGUCUGUAUCACAUGGGUACUGGACAUCAAAGAUCUAUCGCUCUGAGAUGGGCUCGCGUCUGAUUAGCUAGUUGGUGGGGCAACGGCCCACCAAGGCGACGAUCAGUAGCCGGACUGAGAGGUUGGCCGGCCACAUUGGGGACUGAGACACGGCCCAGACUCCUACGGGAGGCAGCAG
This 228-nucleotide ribosomal RNA is filed under the name uncultured bacterium. RNAcentral's name for it is "partial 16S ribosomal RNA". It matches the Rfam family "Bacterial small subunit ribosomal RNA", at positions 129 to 354 of the family's 1533-position model. The record is from RNAcentral.